Molecule: long non-coding RNA, 947 nt
Organism: Microplitis demolitor
Lineage: Eukaryota; Metazoa; Arthropoda; Insecta; Hymenoptera; Braconidae
Exons: 3
Source: RefSeq, a predicted model, not a curated record
UAUUUUGUUUGUAUGGAAAUAGUGUUGGUGGGGUCAAUGCAGCAUUGUAAAAGGGAUACUUGGAUAUGAAGGGAUUACUUGGAUAUGCAGUGAUGGAUUGUAUAAGCGUGAGUCUUAUGGAGGUUAAAGAAAAGGAUUUUGAAGAUUACCGCAAUUACAAAUUUAAAAAUAAAAUAAAAAAUUGUCAUAAAAUAUAAUAUGCAUCUGCAGGAAUAAUCAGUAAUGUUUUUAAUUUUAAAAGUUCGCGCGUUUUAUUUCUUGCAACGUUGCCGCACCCAUCUGAGUCACUCGAAUAGAUUAUUUUUCAUCAUGGCGCGUGUAUAUUUUUGGAGCAACUACAUACAACUACUAACAAUAGCCUAGGAAGCUAUUCUGACUAUAUUAAGAUGAACGUCUGCAUGUGUGUGGGUAUAAACUAUUUUUUGUUGCUCGAUACACUUUGGAACUAAUCAACUGAUUUAAACGUUCAUUGCGGCAAUCAAAAAGGCUCAUAACGACUUAAAGUUAAUUAGAUUUAGACGUCGAUCGGCCGAGUAUACUAUAGUAUCCUGUUAUUUGAAAAAUAAAAAUCAAAAAAAUUUUUUUUUUAGUAUUUUGUUGCAAAACGUAAACUACUCGACCGAUUUGCCUCAAAAUAAAAUCAAAGCUAAGCUUCAAAAUGUCUUUGAGACUGCUGCAAAGGCAAAUCGGUCAAUGAGUUCCAAAAUUAUCGGUGGAAAAAAAUUACUUUUUUUCAGUGAAAUGAUCUUUUACUAUUCGAGGCAUUUUGUAAACUUGACGAGCUCAAAAAUUUAUAAAUAAUAACGUUUUCGAGUCCUAUGAGUCAGAAUCUGCUGGAAGUUAUUAGGAUUGGCACACCCCGGGUCAAAAAAAUAACUUGAUUUUGACUUUUUUCAAGUAUUUGACAUACUUUUUAUUUAAUUCACUAGAUUUUGACUUAGUUAACU